GUCUGUGGCCAUACCACUCUGAAAAUGCCUGAUCUCUUCUGAUCUCAGAAGCUAAGUAGGGUUGGGCCUAGUUAGUACUUGGAUGGGAGAUUGGAAAAUCAACCCUAAAGUUC
Molecule: ribosomal RNA, 113 nt
Filed under: Castor canadensis (American beaver)
Lineage: Eukaryota; Metazoa; Chordata; Mammalia; Rodentia; Castoridae
Source: RNAcentral